Molecule: ribosomal RNA, 380 nt
Filed under: uncultured eukaryote
Lineage: Eukaryota
Description: partial 18S ribosomal RNA
Rfam family: Eukaryotic small subunit ribosomal RNA
Source: RNAcentral
CAAUAGCGUAUAUUAAAGUUGUUGCAGUUAGAACGCUCGUAGUCGGAUUUCGGGGCGUUCCGACCGGUCUGCCGAUGGGUAUGCACUGGCCGGAGUGUCCUUUUUGCCGGAGACCGUGCCUACUCUUAACUGAGCGGGGGCGGGAGACGGCACUUUUACUUUGAAAAAAUCAGAGUGUUUCAAGCAGGCAGCUCGCUCUUGCAUGGAUUAGCAUGGGAUAAUGAAAUAGGACUUUGGUGCUAUUUUGUUGGUUUCGAACACCGAAGUAAUGAUGAGAAGGGACAGUCAGGGGCACUCGUAUUCCGCAGAGAGAGGUGAAAUCCUCAGACCCGCGGAAGACGAACCACUGCGAAAGCAUUUGCCAGGGAUGUUUUCACUGA